GUGCUUAAAGAAUGGCUGUCUGUGGUAUGGUCUCUAUAUUUAUGAUGAUUAAUAUCGGACAACCAUUGUUUUAGUAUCC
Aotus nancymaae (Ma's night monkey) is the source of this 79-nucleotide microRNA precursor. NCBI's taxonomy places the organism in Eukaryota, Metazoa, Chordata, Mammalia, Primates, Aotidae. The record is from Ensembl.